This 1334-nucleotide ribosomal RNA is filed under the name metagenome. Its description in RNAcentral is "bacterial LSU rRNA". It matches the Rfam family "Bacterial large subunit ribosomal RNA", at positions 1569 to 2911 of the family's 2925-position model. The record is from RNAcentral.
UCUCUGGAACUUGUUCCGGAUGGAUGUCAACGAUGUCAUACUUCCAAGAAAAGCUCGUACACUAUUAACACAAUAAUAACCUGUACCAGAAACCGACACAGGUAGGUAAGUAGAGAAUACUCAGGGGCGCGAGAGAACUCUCUCUAAGGAACUCGGCAAACUGGCCCCGUAACUUCGGAAGAAGGGGCGCCUGAGAAAUCAGGCCGCAGUGUCCAGGCUCAGGCGACUGUUUACCAAAAACACAGGUCUCCGCAAAGUCGUAAGACAAUAUAUGGGGGCUGACGCCUGCCCAGUGCCGGAAGGUGAAGGAAGUUGGUUAUUUUGAAUUUCAAGAGAAGCUGACGACCGAAGCCCCGGUGAACGGCGGCUGUAACGAUGACAGUCCUAAGGUAGCGAAAUUCAUUGUCGAGUAAGUUUCGACUUGCACGAAAGGCGUAACGAUCUGAGCGCUGUCUCAGAGAGAGACUCGGUGAAAUAGACUUGUCCGUGAAGAUGCGGACUACUAACAUUUGGACAGAAAGACCCUAUGAAGCUUGACUGUAUUCUGGAAUGGAAUUCGGGCUUUUCUUGCGCAGUCUAGGUGGGAGGCGUUGAAGAUUUCCUUCCGGGGAAGUUGGAGCCAUCAGUGAGAGACCACUCUGGGAAGGCUAGAAUUCUAAUGGCGAUCCUUGAAUCAGGACGCUUGACAGUUUCAGAUGGGCAGUUUCUCUGGGGCGGAGACCUCCUAAAGGUAACGGAGGUGCGCAAUGGUUCCCUCAGUCUGGACGGAAAUCAGACAUUGAGUGUAAAGGCAAAAGGGAGCUUGACUGUGAGACCUACAAGUCAAACAGGGGCGAAAGCCGGCCUUAGUGAUCCGACGGUGCUGUGUGGAAAGGCCGUCGCUCAACGGAUAAAAGUUACUCUAAGGAUAACAGGCUAAUCUUCUCCAAGAGUUCACAUCGACGAGAAGGUUUGGCACCUCGAUGUCGGCUCAUCACAUCCUGGGGCUGUAGUAGGUCCCAAGGGUUGGGCUGUUCGCCCAUUAAAGUGGUACGUGAGCUGGGUUCAGAACGUCGCGAGACAGUUCGGUCCAUAUCCGAUGUUAGCGUUAGAAUAUUGAGGUCAGUCACUCAUAGUACGAGAGGACCUGUAGUGAUCAUGCCUAUGGUCUAUCAGUUCUUUUUCCAAAGGGAAACGCUGAGUAGCUACGCAUGGAGUGCAUAACCGCUGAAAGCAUCUAAGUGGGAAGGCCAGACCAAGAUGAGUAUUCUCCAUUAAGCCGCAGCAAGACAAGCUGUAGAUAGGUAUCAGGUGUACAAUCAGUAAUGGUUUGAGCCGAGAUAUACUAAAGGCAG